This 469-nucleotide ribosomal RNA is filed under the name uncultured bacterium. RNAcentral's name for it is "partial 16S ribosomal RNA". It matches the Rfam family "Bacterial small subunit ribosomal RNA", at positions 28 to 507 of the family's 1533-position model. The record is from RNAcentral.
GACGAACGCUGGCGGCGUGCUUAACACAUGCAAGUCGAACGGAGAGGCCCUGCUUGCCGGGUGCUCGAGUGGCGAACGGGUGAGUAACACGUGGGUGAUCUGCCCCUUAUUUUGGGAUAAGCCUGGGAAACUGGGUCUAAUACUGGAUAGGACCAUGCUGUAGGUGGUGUGGUGGAAAGAUUAGUUUCGGUAAGGGAUGAGCUCGCGGCCUAUCAGCUUGUUGGUGGGGUAAUGGCCUACCAAGGCGUCGACGGGUAGCCGGCCUGAGAGGGUGGACGGCCACAUUGGGACUGAGAUACGGCCCAGACUCCUACGGGAGGCAGCAGUGGGGAAUAUUGCACAAUGGGCGCAAGCCUGAUGCAGCGACGCCGCGUGGGGGAUGACGGCCUUCGGGUUGUAAACUCCUUUCAGCCAUGACGAAGCCCUUGUGGUGACGGUAGUGGUAGAAGAAGCACCGGCUAACUACGUG